Molecule: non-coding RNA, 821 nt
Organism: Paramisgurnus dabryanus
Lineage: Eukaryota; Metazoa; Chordata; Actinopteri; Cypriniformes; Cobitidae
Source: RefSeq, a predicted model, not a curated record
ACUUUUUGUUUAAUCACUUAAUGUGUAUCUGCUCUGUAUACAGUAUUUACCACUGCCACAGUUAUGUUUUAGAAGUCACUUUUUUUUAAAGACACCUGCAUGCUCCAAGAAAACUUGUCACCUUUUACAUCUAAAAACUGCACACUUGGGAGAAAAAUUUGCGGUUUCAUGUCUGAAACCAUGUGCACUCUCUUUCCAAAUAUAUUGUAACAAAUGGCGGGGAGUUCACACCACUGGUCUCAAACCUGGGUUCCCGUGCAUGCUUCCUAAUCAUAACACCAAGUGGGGCAAGAGGUUGGACCUGCUGUUGUGCCUGCUAUCCCACCUACAAUCUCUGAUGUCACACCAACUGCUACUCUUCCCAACCCCAUGGAGGAACCAGCAGCUGCUGUGGUACCAGUAAAUCAGCUGAUACAGACAAUACACAUUAUUCCACAGUUUGAAGUCCGGAGUAUUCUUACAGGCUUACAUGAUGGCAAGGAAAUUGUUGAGAGCCUUGAUAAAGAUAAUGUCAUCACAACUAGUCAGAGACGUCUCCUCGUCCGAAUCUUGGUGUCGUAUCUGAUUGAGAAGUUUGGAGAAAAGUACUUUAUUUAUUUUUUAUAUAGAAUAGAGUUCCUGUUAAAUACACCAAUAUUCCCAUUUGGAAAGUAAAUUAACAUGUAGUUUUUCAUUUCACUUAAAUUAAAACAGGGCACUACUUUGAGGUCUGACAUUGACCUAGAUUUGCUAGGAAGCUAUUUUUUGGGAUACGACAAUUUUUUCUGGAGUACUUGAAAGCGGUAGUUUAAAUUAUAGGACAUAAAGAAAGAUUUAUGAAA